This 501-nucleotide ribosomal RNA is filed under the name uncultured bacterium. RNAcentral's name for it is "bacterial SSU rRNA". It matches the Rfam family "Bacterial small subunit ribosomal RNA", at positions 791 to 1296 of the family's 1533-position model. The record is from RNAcentral.
UAGUCCACGCCGUAAACGAUGGAUACUAGCUGUCGGGACUUCGGUCUCGGCGGCCAAGCGAAAGUGAUAAGUAUCCCACCUGGGGAGUACGUUCGCAAGAAUGAAACUCAAAGGAAUUGACGGGGGCCCGCACAAGCGGUGGAGCAUGUGGUUUGAUUCGAUGAUACGCGAGGAACCUUACCUAGGCUCUAAUGCGCGCGCAAUCCUGUGAAAGCAGAAGUUCCUUCGGGACGCAAAGCAAGGUGCUGCAUGGUUGUCGUCAGCUCGUGCCGUGAGGUGUUGGGUUAAGUCCCGCAACGAGCGCAACCCCUAUCUUUAGUUGCCAGCACGUAAUGGUGGGGACUCUAGAGAGACUGCCGGCGUAAGCCGCGAGGAAGGUGGGGACGACGUCAAAUCAUCAUGGCCUUUAUGCCUAGGGCGACACACGUGCUACAAUGGCGUGCACAGAGGGUAGCCAGACCGCGAGGUUGAGCCAAUCCCAGAAAGCACGUCCCAGUUCGG